RNAcentral lists this ribosomal RNA (326 nucleotides) under uncultured archaeon. RNAcentral describes it as "bacterial SSU rRNA". It matches the Rfam family "Archaeal small subunit ribosomal RNA", at positions 385 to 712 of the family's 1478-position model. The record is from RNAcentral.
UGCCAUUCUUAACGGGAUGGCUUUUCAUUAGUGUAAAGAGCUUUUGGAAUAAGAGCUGGGCAAGACCGGUGCCAGCCGCCGCGGUAACACCGGCAGCUCUAGUGGUAACAAUUUUUAUUGGGCCUAAAGCGUCCGUAGCCGGUUUAAUAAGUCUCUGGUGAAAUCCUGUAGCUUAACUGUGGGAAUUGCUGGAGAUACUAUUAGACUUGAGACCGGGAGAGGUUAGAGGUACUCCCAGGGUAGAGGUGAAAUUCUGUAAUCCUGGGAGGACCGCCUGUUGCGAAGGCGUCUAACUGGAACGGUUCUGACGGUGAGGGACGAAAGUU